GGGUUGUGAGGUUAAGCGACUAAGCGUACACGGUGGAUGCCCUGGCAGUCAGAGGCGAUGAAGGACGUGCUAAUCUGCGAAAAGCGUCGGUAAGGUGAUAUGAACCGUUAUAACCGGCGAUGUCCGAAUGGGGAAACCCAGUGCAAUUCGUUGCACUAUCGUUAACUGAAUACAUAGGUUAACGAGGCGAACCGGGGGAACUGAAACAUCUAAGUACCCCGAG
RNAcentral lists this ribosomal RNA (223 nucleotides) under Klebsiella pneumoniae. RNAcentral's name for it is "partial 23S ribosomal RNA". It matches the Rfam family "Bacterial large subunit ribosomal RNA", at positions 1 to 215 of the family's 2925-position model. The record is from RNAcentral. Lineage: Bacteria; Pseudomonadati; Pseudomonadota; Gammaproteobacteria; Enterobacterales; Enterobacteriaceae.